AGCGAACGUUAGCGGCGGGCCUAACACAUGCAAGUCGAACGCGAAAGGUCUUCGGACUGAGUAGAGUGGCGCACGGGUGAGUAACACGUAGGUAAUCUACCCUUUGGCGGGGGAUAACGUUCCGAAAGGAGCGCUAAUACCGCAUAAGACCACGGAGUCUCCGGACGCUGUGGGAAAAGGUGGCCUCUUCUUGAAAGCUACCACCGAAGGAUGAGCCUGCGUCCCAUCAGCUAGUUGGUAAGGUAAUGGCUUACCAAGGCGAAGACGGGUAGCUGGUUUGAGAGAAUGAUCAGCCACACUGGCACUGGAACACGGGCCAGACUCCUACGGGAGGCAGCAGUGAGGAAGUAUUGGGCAAUGGGCGAAAGCCUGACCCAGCCACGCCGCGUGAGUGAUGAAGGCCCUCGGGUCGUAAAGCUCUGUGGAGAGGGACGAAAACCCUGGUUUCAAAUAGGCUCCAGGCUUGACGGUAUCUCUUUAGCAAGCACCGGCUAACUCUGUGCCAG
RNAcentral lists this ribosomal RNA (506 nucleotides) under uncultured bacterium. Its description in RNAcentral is "bacterial SSU rRNA". It matches the Rfam family "Bacterial small subunit ribosomal RNA", at positions 29 to 511 of the family's 1533-position model. The record is from RNAcentral.